Molecule: long non-coding RNA, 3138 nt
Organism: Tympanuchus pallidicinctus (lesser prairie-chicken)
Lineage: Eukaryota; Metazoa; Chordata; Aves; Galliformes; Phasianidae
Exons: 6
Source: RefSeq, a predicted model, not a curated record
CUCCUCUUGGAGUCUUUUUCUGUGAGCCCAGGACACAGUGACAACUGGCUUUGUGGCACUGGGUGGUGUGAGAAUAGGGAACAGUAUUUGGCUCAAACCUUGUUCAGAGGCAGCCAUCUGAUACAUGAGAAGCUGGAGAAUGCUUGGCUCAGAGCCUGUUCAACGGCAUCCAUCCAAGGCAUGACCUGACCAACAAGCUUUUGAAGUAAAUGGUUGACUACUGUGAGCACAGAGGUGAGAGGACAUGCAUUGUUCCUCCUGAUGAACAAAAUGUGGAUACCGUGGCAGCUACCAUCACCAUGAUGGACACGACAUGAUGACCCUGAUCACUGAGGUAGGCAGGCCUGAAGAGUUCUGAGGAAGAAUGGGUAAGUCAAUGAGAUGUUGCAUGACCAACCUGCUUCCUUGCCAUGGACCAGUAAGACACUGUUGGAUUCCCUGGUGGUGACUAUUCCUGCUCUGUAAACUGUUUGCUAGAAUUUCUGUCUUUACUAUUGCUAACUUCCCUAUCUUUCCUGAAUUCCUUGGUAGUUUAGAGCCUCUAAUGCUGAUUAUGCUCUGAUUCUAGACUUGCUGCUUGUUCAUAUUGGGAGGAAUCAUACAAUGGUGAAGAAAUUGUUAUUAAUAAUGUUUUUUAUAUAUGGGGAAAAUAGCAAGAUUCAUUUUGAUAAAUGAUAAUCAAUCAUCAAGUUGGGAUAGUAAGGUAGUUUACUACUAGAGGUAUUUUGUGGUCUGGUUUGAAAACUCAAGAGGGUAAAAAGGAAGAGGGGGAAUUGUAAGAGGUUGCCUUUUUGCAGUGGCAAUUUCCAGUAUUCUGUAUGUAGCAUAAGGUAAGCUGUCUUUCACAAAGAAAGCUGCUGAGCACAGUAAAGCUGAGACUGGGGUGUUCUGGCAUAGGUAAAAUUGGCACAGGCACUAGGUAAGGUAAUUUUAUAGGCUAGGGAGGAGUCUGGUACAGGACAGAACUAGUGUACUAAUUGUUGAAAAUGUUGUCAUCCUCUUGCCAUAAAAGGUACAGAGCACACAAAGACAGUGGGUUGGUGACAGAUAUAUGGAAGCGUAAUGUAGCAACAGCACUGGAAAGUUGUGAGCCUGAGACUAAACCAAGGAGUGCCAGGAGGCUUUACCUGCGUCAGACCCAUGGUUUGUAAUAGAAUGGAUUUCACUGGCUAGUUGUACAGUUUCUCCCUUGUCAGUGGGGAUCGUGUGGCCAUUACUGCAGUAAUGAAAAACUGUUCUUAACAGAUCUAUGAUUAGAAGUUUUUGAUCUAGAGUGUGUUUCUCACAACUUGAACCACUCUGUCAGCUGUUAGGAAAGCAAGGCUGCCAAGAGUGCUCAUUCCAGAGGUUCUUGUAGUAUGUCAAAGAAAAUCUUUUGGUACAGGUGUUGAAGGAGCCAUUGAGAAGAGAGGUGUUGCUGGAGCUUGCUCUCCCUGUUGUAGAAGGACUCUUUGGGGACAGGAAGACCAGUGGUGGCCUCAAGUGUGGCAGGUGUGAGCUGCAGUGUUCAGUGUGGAAGAUAUGAAGCAAUGAGUAGAACUGAAACACUGAACUUUAAGGGAGCCAACUUUGUCUUAAAGGAUCUAUGUGAAGGUACACCUGGGGUUAGAGCAUUGGAGGGGGUCCUGUGAGCAAUUGUUGAUGCUGGAGUGUUACUUCCAUGCUCAGGAGCUGUGCAUCCCAAACAGUGAAGAACUGAGCAGGAAUGGCAGGAGACCUGCAGGGGUGAAUGAGAACUCAUGGUUUAACUUGAAGGGGAGAAAGAAGAGAAGGAUUGUGGAAGGCUAAGGCCCUCUCAGUAUCACCUUUAGGAGGGAGGUCAAGACUAACAAAAGUUUGUCAACAGAGAAAAGGUGACUAGAGAAUGUGUGGGCCUCUGCUUUGCAAGGUGGAGAUUCUGGUAAUGGGGAUGCAUUUCUGUACUGAAUGCCUUUUUGUCUUCAGUUGUUGCUGCUGAGACUGCUUGUUGGGAACCCUGGAUUCUGGAGGAGCUGGUCAAAGGAAAGGUGCCUGAAGACUGGAGGAUAGCUGAUGGCCCUGCAGGCUUCAGAGAUGGUGAGAAGCAUGGCCUCAUCUCUGGGAAGGUGAUGUGACAACUUGUUCCAGGGUGAGGACUAGUUGGAGUAUGUGAGUGAUGGAUCUGCAGAUAUGAACCCUCACACUGGAGGAUGGAGCUGGUUCACAGCUCUUCCUGCAUGUUAAUGGCUGGAAUGAGGAUUCCAGUGAAGCAUGGCCUGGAAGGAAUGGAGUGAAGUGAGAGCAGCCCUUCUGUGCUGGAGUGUGGGGAUCUGAUGGAUCUCUCUGCUGAUCUGGUGGAGGAGCAGAGGAUGUUGUGGUGUGCCUGGCUGGUUUUGUUGCUUAAAAGAGUAAGAAUGCAGACUAGAUUGGAAGGGGCCUACAACUUGUAGCUGUGCAUGAGCCCACCUGAACUUCAAAUGCUAUCUCUAAAAGCAGUGCCCAAAUGCUUCUCCAAGUCCAUCAGCCUGGGCCUGUGACUGCUGCCCUGAGGAGCUUGUUCAGGUACCCAGCCACCCUCUGGUGAAGGAACUUGUUGUAAUUUUCACUGUGGCUUAGUACAUAUCCAAGUCCCUUGCCCUAGUCAGUUGUAGAAAAACUGAAGAGAGCAGUGGGAUGUCACUGGAACACCCAGGAACAGCUUAAAAGCAACAGAAGAUAGAACAAUUACUGAAUCAGCCUGCCUUAACUGAAGUUGAUGCAACCCUUUAACAGUGGAAUGUAGUCUUCAGUCAAUAGUAAAUCUAUAGCUAAGAGUAAAGAUUUAAUUGCUAUGCACCCAGUCAUUUCACUAUUCAUGUUUUAUGCCUUGUAACAGUAUGUGUGUUUUCUAACAUUAAUAGUCUGAAUGGCUGAGCAAGAACCACUUGGAGCAAUAAAGCCUAAAACAGUGAAAAAACUUUCAUUGAUUCAUAAUGUAUUUCUUGGCAGGGUGCACAUUCAGAAGAGAGCUUCCAACAUGUGUCUUUCCUUAAAAACAGCAGUAUGAACUGUCACUUUAGCUGGAGGCCUGGGCUGCACAAGUGUGUUCCUCCAUCAGCCAGGGAAAGAAAGGAGUUUGUUUGUUUUUUUUUGUUGUUGUUUUUAUGACAAAUCAUAUAUAAAGCCCUAAUUCUUAAUUCA